Molecule: long non-coding RNA, 769 nt
Organism: Quercus robur (English oak)
Lineage: Eukaryota; Viridiplantae; Streptophyta; Magnoliopsida; Fagales; Fagaceae
Exons: 4
Source: RefSeq, a predicted model, not a curated record
AAAAAAAAAAAGAGCCCUACCUAACGUAAUGAAUUUGAAGAGCACUACCUAAGUCUCUCAAAAUUUUCUCCAUCUUUACCCCCAAAAUUUUUUCCCUCUCACUCUUUCCCUCUCACAAAAUUUCCCCAAAAUUUUUUUUCCCUCUCACUCUUUCACUUAGGGAUUUCAUGAGCUCUCUCCCUCUCAUUCUCACUUUCCCUCUCACAAUACUCUCUCUUUCUCCCCUCACUCAUCUUUGAUCUCUCCAUCAGACCCAUCAGCCAACACCAUCCACUACACAGCCACCCUCUGCCACCACUGCCAUCAUCGUCCUCCACUCUCUUUGCCACCUACUGCGCUAUCCACCACAAGUCUGAACAAGCUUGGCUGUGGUUGGCAGUGGAGCAUAUCUUGUGUACAAAUAUAGAUUACGGCAAUACAUGGAUUCUGAAAUUAGAGCUAUAAUGGCACAGUAUAUGCCUCUAGACAGUCAAGCUGAAAUACCAAACCAUGUCAAUGACGAACAAGCAUGAAAAGCAAAAUUUCACCCUUCAGUUUUUUUAAGGAUUUCAGGUCAAAAUAUUGCAUGCCUUGGGCUAUAGAAGAUAUUGAGGGGAGAUAUAUUUCAUUGCAACAAGUUUUAGCUUGGUGGCAUAUUUUCAUGAGGAAUUUGUUAUCAUUUGACUAGUAUUUGAGUGAAUAGAUUGGAACUUAUGUUAUGUAUAUGAUAUUGAACUUGGGUAUUAUUUUCCCUUAUUGGUAGUUAUUGAUUGAGCAGUUGUUAUGCUUA